GCAAGUCGAGCGCACCCUUCGGGGCGAGCGGCGGACGGGUUAGUAACGCGUGGGAACAUACCUUUCUCUAAGGAAUAGCCAUUGGAAACGAUGAGUAAUACCGUAUACGCCCUUUGGGGGAAAGAUUUAUCGGUGAGGGAUUAGCCCGCGUUAGAUUAGAUAGUUGGUGGGGUAAUGGCCUACCAAGUCUACGAUCUAUAGCUGGUUUGAGAGGAUGAUC
RNAcentral lists this ribosomal RNA (220 nucleotides) under uncultured bacterium. Its description in RNAcentral is "partial 16S ribosomal RNA". It matches the Rfam family "Bacterial small subunit ribosomal RNA", at positions 57 to 305 of the family's 1533-position model. The record is from RNAcentral.